This 473-nucleotide small RNA is filed under the name uncultured Chroococcidiopsis sp. Its description in RNAcentral is "bacterial LSU rRNA". It matches the Rfam family "Bacterial large subunit ribosomal RNA", at positions 1967 to 2440 of the family's 2925-position model. The record is from RNAcentral. Lineage: Bacteria; Bacillati; Cyanobacteriota; Cyanophyceae; Chroococcidiopsidales; Chroococcidiopsidaceae.
CCUCCCAGACUAGUUCCGACCGCACGAAGCGUACGAUCUGGGAGCUGUCUCGGAGAGAGACUCGGCGAAAUAGAAUUGUCUGUGAAGAUACGGACUACCUGCACCUGGACAGAAAGACCCUAUGAAGCUUUACAUAGCCUGGAAUUGUGUUCGGGCUUCGCUUACGCAGGAUAGGUGGGAGGCUGUGAAGUUCUAGCUUGUGGGCAGAAUCGAGCCACCGUUGGGAUACCACCCCUGUAGUACUGGGACUCUAACCAGAGGCCUUGAAUCAGGUCUUGGGACACUGUCAGGCGGGCAGUUUGACUGGGGCGGUCGCCUCCCAAAGGUAACGGAGGCGCUCAAAGGUUCUCUCAGCACGGUCGGAAAUCGUGCAUAGAGUGUAAAGGCAUAAGAGAGCUUGGAUUGCAAGACAUACCUAGGUCGAGCAAGGACGAAAGUACGGACUUAGUGAUCCGGUGGUUCUGAGUGGAAGG